UGCAUUUUGUAGCAUUUUUGCUUUCGACAACUAUUUGUAAGGCAAAGAAGUCUUGUAUUACACCUUAAUCAAUAGAAAGACCGCA
Long non-coding RNA from Sinocyclocheilus anshuiensis, 85 nucleotides. RefSeq lists it as uncharacterized. NCBI's taxonomy places the organism in Eukaryota, Metazoa, Chordata, Actinopteri, Cypriniformes, Cyprinidae. The record is from RefSeq and is a predicted model, not a curated record. The transcript is spliced from 3 exons.